This 409-nucleotide long non-coding RNA is filed under the name Mustela putorius furo (domestic ferret). RNAcentral describes it as "lncRNA (ENSMPUG00000027965.1)". Lineage: Eukaryota; Metazoa; Chordata; Mammalia; Carnivora; Mustelidae. The record is from RNAcentral.
GGCGAAAGGAGGAGAGUUGGAUAUUGAAUUCAACAGAGUGGCCAGGGAUUGAGUCAAGUGUGCCUACGUCAACAAACCCCACUACAAGUUCUGGAAACUAAACCAGAUUAUGCUGGUUGGGAAUACUCUGUUGUUGCACAGCAAUGUGCCUGGAAGGUAGUGAGUCCUGAGGAUAAGGAAGCUUAAUGUUUGGGAUCCUCCCAGACGUUUACCCUGUGUACAUCUCCCUUUGGCAGAUUGGAGAUUUUACAGAAUGCUUACACUGAUGGAAAUAAUCCAUUAGAGGGAAAACACAGAUGAGGAGGACUACAAAAAGCAACAAAAUCUUGACGAAUGAGGUACCAAGUACUUAUUCCAUGGCUGAGAUUAAAAAUAGAAGCUACCCUGUAUUGAAUGUCUCAGACGUGUU